Molecule: non-coding RNA, 1835 nt
Organism: Anas platyrhynchos (mallard)
Lineage: Eukaryota; Metazoa; Chordata; Aves; Anseriformes; Anatidae
Source: RefSeq, a predicted model, not a curated record
GUCAGGAAGAGGUGAGUCAAGUUUUCCUUUGAGAAAUGUGGUUGGAAAGAACAGAAGUAUUCUGAGCUGAGUUCAGGAAAAAACAGAGAAACUUUUGGAUGUGGAAGGAAGGACAGUCAUAGGCUGCAGGGAUUAAUGUUUGGUAUUACCAUAGUAGAAAACUGGUCUACUGAUCUCACUAGUGCUACUAUCCUGUCACUGACAACGGGAGCACAUGUGCAGGAUGUAGAAUGUGGUUAAUGGAGGAGAGGAAGAGAAGACAAAUAAUAAAAGCAAGGACCUUUGGUAAAUACCUGGACAUAGACAGUGGGCAAAGGAAAAAAAGGUGGAGAAGAGUACAAGGAGCUGUUUUCAUAGUUCCACUUAAAAGCUUGGUUAAAGUUCAUCUACGGCAGUAUUAACAGGUAUGCUAAUCAGACCUAACUCUCACACUAACUGCUACAAUGGCUGAGCACAACUGAGAUGGAGAGCUUUGGCAUUUCUGCUUCUUCCCAUGGUUAAAGAGUCCAUUUGUUGUUCCCUCGGAGACUUUUGCUUGCCUUCUAGACAAAGGAAAAAGAAGCAAAAAUAAAAGGAGUGUACACAUUUUAAAAUAGAACAGGUGGGAGAGACCAUGACAAAAUCUUCACAGGAAUAUCUCUGUCCUUACUACAAAUUCCUAAACUUAAAAUAUGUCUAGGAAAUUCCCUGCACUUUCAAGGAAUUUCCCUGUGCUUUCUAGGAAUGUCUCAGCUUUCCAGUAAUUCCUCAGUCCUAGUAUACCUUUCUAGGAAUUGUUAUAGCUAGAAACUUUCCAGAAAUUUCCCAUAGCUUUCCAUUAGGUUUUGACUGAUUUGUAGGAACUUCCUUUUAUGAAUAAUGAUAGCAAUAUUCUAGUGAUUACUGGGAUUUUUUUCUAUCCAGAACCUUUUUACAAAUUUCUGAUCAUUUUCUAGUUCCUCAGUCCGAAUUUUUUCUAGGACUUUCUUGUAAUAUCCAAGAAUUUCUCACUACUUGCUAGGAAUUCUGUCUAGGAUUAUUCUAGGUCUUCCCCAGUGCUUUUCAGGAAUUUCUCAUCCCAGAACCUUUCUAGGAAUUGCACCUUGCUUUCUAGGAGUUUACCGCUACUUUCUAGCAAUUAUAAAUUCUAGAAACUUUCUAAAUAUUGUUGAGCAUUUUUUUUUAGGAAGUUUUCAAUGCUUUCUGAAAUUUCACUAAUCUGAAAACUCUGAAGUGUGCUUUCUAGGAAUUUUUAUGCAAUUUCUAGGAAUUUCCCACCACAUUUGAGAAAUGCUUAACUUCUUACUAGGAGUUUUUCUGUUUGGAACCAUUCUAUGAAUUCCUUAGUGCUUUCUAAGUGUUUUCCUAUGUUUUCCCAGAAUCCCUUGAUAUUGAAACUUUCUAGGAAAUUUCCAGCAUUUUCUAGGAUUUUCCCUAGUAUGUUUCCUUCCACGAACACUUCUGUUUAGAGCCUUUCUAGGAGUUUUGCAAUCUAUAAAGGUUCUCAGUGCAAAAGCAUAAGGAACUAGAAAAAAAAAAAAAGGUUCUGCAUAAUUAUAUUUACAAAAUUAUGUGUGGCUGGCCAGAAAGAAACAAGCUAAGGAAAAAUAAAAUAGGCUGUGAAUUACAGUAGCUCACAGUAGCAAUUUAGGUCAUAGAACUUUCACCUGUACUAGCUAUAAAAUGUACCUGCCAAAUACAUGCUACUUGGAGCCAAGUUUCAGUAUCAGACUGAUUAAAUUAACACCUCUGCGCAACAGUGCCAUAUGAUGGCAGACUUUGUAACAGUGCAAACUGAUUUAUGGUUGACUCAGUUGUAAUGAUCAGACUCAGAAUCAUUGUUCUUGAGUACGUUU